CAAAGUGUAACUUAACACAAGCAAAGCAUCCCUCUUACACAGGGAAAAUAUCAGUGCAAGCCCGAUCACUUUGA
Molecule: transfer RNA, 74 nt
Filed under: Ophisternon infernale
Lineage: Eukaryota; Metazoa; Chordata; Actinopteri; Synbranchiformes; Synbranchidae
Description: tRNA-Val
Rfam family: tRNA
About the family: Transfer RNA (tRNA) molecules are approximately 80 nucleotides in length. Their secondary structure includes four short double-helical elements and three loops (D, anti-codon, and T loops).
Source: RNAcentral